This 433-nucleotide ribosomal RNA is filed under the name uncultured bacterium. RNAcentral's name for it is "partial 16S ribosomal RNA". It matches the Rfam family "Bacterial small subunit ribosomal RNA", at positions 29 to 507 of the family's 1533-position model. The record is from RNAcentral.
AACGAACGCUGGCGGCAUGCCUAACACAUGCAAGUCGAACGAGACCUUCGGGUCUAGUGGCGCACGGGUGCGUAACGCGUGGGAACCUGCCCUUAGGUUCGGAAUAACUCCCCGAAAGGGGUGCUAAUACCGGAUAAUGUCUUCGGACCAAAGAUUUAUCGCCGUUGGAUGGGCCCGCGUUGGAUUAGCUAGUUGGUAGGGUAAAAGCCUACCAAGGCGACGAUCCAUAGCUGGUCUGAGAGGAUGAUCAGCCACACUGGGACUGAGACACGGCCCAGACUCCUACGGGAGGCAGCAGUGGGGAAUAUUGGACAAUGGGCGAAAGCCUGAUGCAGCAAUGCCGCGUGAGUGAUGAAGGCCUUAGGGUUGUAAAGCUCUUUUACCCGGGAUGAUAAUGACAGUACCGGGAGAAUAAGCUCCGGCUAACUCCGUG